UCCGUAGGGUGAACCUGCGGAGGGAUCAUUACACAACAAAAUAUGAAGGUCUGGCUUCGCGGCCGGCUGAAAUAUUUUUUUCACCCAUGUCUUUUGCGCACUUGUUGUUUCCUGGGCGGGUUCGCCCGCCACCAGGACCAAACCAUAAACCUUUUUUUUUAUGCAGUUGCAAUCAGCGUCAGUAAAAACAAUGUAAUUAAUUACAACUUUCAACAACGGAUCUCUUGGUUCUGGCAUCGAUGAAGAACGCAGCGAAAUGCGAUACGUAGUGUGAAUUGCAGAAUUCAGUGAAUCAUCGAAUCUUUGAACGCACAUUGCGCCCUUUGGUAUUCCAAAGGGCAUGCCUGUUCGAGCGUCAUUUGUACCUUCAAGCUUUGCUUGGUGUUGGGCGUUUUUGUCUCCCUCUUUCUGGGAGACUCGCCUUAAAACGAUUGGCAGCCGGCCUACUGGUUUCGGAGCGCAGCACAUAAUUUGCGCUUUGUAUCAGGAGAAAAGGACGGUAAUCCAUCAAGACUCUACAUUUUUAACUUUUGACCUCGGAUCAGGUAGGGAUACCCGCUGAACUUAAGCAUAUCAAUAGCCGGGAGG
This 588-nucleotide ribosomal RNA is filed under the name Bipolaris sorokiniana. RNAcentral's name for it is "eukaryotic LSU rRNA". The stretch from base 205 to 358 matches the Rfam family "5.8S ribosomal RNA". Lineage: Eukaryota; Fungi; Ascomycota; Dothideomycetes; Pleosporales; Pleosporaceae. The record is from RNAcentral.